This 700-nucleotide ribosomal RNA is filed under the name bacterium enrichment culture. RNAcentral's name for it is "bacterial SSU rRNA". It matches the Rfam family "Bacterial small subunit ribosomal RNA", at positions 8 to 705 of the family's 1533-position model. The record is from RNAcentral.
AGAGUUUGAUCAUGGCUCAGAUUGAACGCUGGCGGCAUGCCUUACACAUGCAAGUCGAACGGCAGCACGGGAGCAAUCCUGGUGGCGAGUGGCGAACGGGUGAGUAAUAUAUCGGAACGUGCCCAGUCGUGGGGGAUAACGUAGCGAAAGUUACGCUAAUACCGCAUACGAUCUACGGAUGAAAGCGGGGGAUCGCAAGACCUCGCGCGACUGGAGCGGCCGAUACCAGAUUAGCUUGUUGGUGAGGUAAAGGCUCACCAAGGCAACGAUCUGUAGCUGGUCUGAGAGGACGACCAGCCACACUGGGACUGAGACACGGCCCAGACUCCUACGGGAGGCAGCAGUGGGGAAUUUUGGACAAUGGGCGCAAGCCUGAUCCAGCAAUGCCGCGUGCAGGAUGAAGGCCUUCGGGUUGUAAACUGCUUUUGUACGGAACGAAACGGUUUCCUCUAAUACAGGGAAUUAAUGACGGUACCGUAAGAAUAAGCACCGGCUAACUACGUGCCAGCAGCCGCGGUAAUACGUAGGGUGCGAGCGUUAAUCGGAAUUACUGGGCGUAAAGCGUGCGCAGGCGGUCUUGUAAGACAGAUGUGAAAUCCCCGGGCUCAACCUGGGACCUGCAUUUGUGACUGCAAGGCUGGAGUACGGCAGAGGGGGAUGGAAUUCCGCGUGUAGCAGUGAAAUGCUUAGAUAUGGCACA